GAUGAACGCUGGCGGCGUGCCUAAUACAUGCAAGUCGAGCGAACAGACGAGGAGCUUGCUCCUCUGACGUUAGCGGCGGACGGGUGAGUAACACGUGGAUAACCUACCUAUAAGACUGGGAUAACUUCGGGAAACCGGAGCUAAUACCGGAUAAUAUAUUGAACCGCAUGGUUCAAUAGUGAAAGACGGUUUUGCUGUCACUUAUAGAUGGAUCCGCGCCGCAUUAGCUAGUUGGUAAGGUAACGGCUUACCAAGGCGACGAUGCGUAGCCGACCUGAGAGGGUGAUCGGCCACACUGACACUGGGACACGGUCCAGACUCCUACGGGAGGCAGCAGUAGGGAAUCUUCCGCAAUGGGCGAAAGCCUGACGGAGCAACGCCGCGUGAGUGAUGAAGGUCUUCGGAUCGUAAAACUCUGUUAUUAGGGAAGAACAAAUGUGUAAGUAACUAUGCACGUCUUGACGGUACCUAAUCAGAAAGCCACGGCUAACUACGUG
RNAcentral lists this ribosomal RNA (497 nucleotides) under uncultured bacterium. RNAcentral describes it as "partial 16S ribosomal RNA". It matches the Rfam family "Bacterial small subunit ribosomal RNA", at positions 28 to 507 of the family's 1533-position model. The record is from RNAcentral.